Molecule: long non-coding RNA, 1415 nt
Organism: Cydia amplana
Lineage: Eukaryota; Metazoa; Arthropoda; Insecta; Lepidoptera; Tortricidae
Exons: 2
Source: RefSeq, a predicted model, not a curated record
UUAUUUAACCCAUUCAUGGCCACGAACCGCCGAGCGUACACAAUACGCCAGGCCACCAUACAAAUCGUUUUUAGCUAAAACGCAUGACUCAGCUUAUGGGUCUCGAGCCUGGCGCGAACGGUAAAUAAAUCGCCGCUUAUGAAGCCGGCCAGUUGGACAGCAUUAUGCAACAUUUUUACUAACCACCGAUUUUCUGUGCCUAUCAAAAAAGAAACUAAUUAUUGCAUCGGUCAGGUUAGGCGGGUUCAAAUUCCGGUAAUCCAUAGCCAUGGUCACAAAAUACGAAAUCACUAAACAGCACAGGAGGAGUAUAAAGUCGCCAACGAAUAAAUCGUGACUAAAUAAUAUUUUCCAUGUUACUCCAAAAUACAUCUCUAAUAGGGGGGAUGGGAUGAAUCACAUCUUGAACUCUUGUGACAAAUACCACAUGAAAGAUAAUACCGCCGCCGCCGUUCGGAUGCAUUCCUUGUUUAUUGUCCAAGUGUGUCCGAUAAGCUUACACCUGGUCGGUCAUUAUCUUUGUUUUGGUAAACGCCAUUAUAUUAGUAACAAUAGAGAACUUAAAAUGUAUUAUAGUACUUACUUUCUAAUCUGCCGUAGAAACCACUAUGUUUGAAAAAACUUGUAAAUAUUUGUCACAAACUAUUUGUUAUACAAUACAUAUUAGUUAGUGGUGACUGUUUCAACCGCCUUGUUCUAUAUUGAAACGAAAAAAAAUUAACUUUAACAUCAUUGUUAGUAGGUAAUUGCCUAAGAUACAAUACAACGAUCACCAAAUAUUAUGACAUAAAAGUACAGUGGGAAAAAAUCCUCGUUGCCUUACCCCUCAUACAAAACAAAAUAUUAUUAUACUACGGCUUGGUUCCUACAAAUUGUUGCUUACCAUCAUCCAAACAGUAAUCAGUUGUAAAAUGGUACAAUAUCAAACAGCUUCAACAUGAAAUAAGCUUUAAAACCAGCCAAUAAAGUUUAUUUUAGCCUGCUACGGAAACAUUAGCAGUUUUUACAAGUAGCGCCAGGCCACGGUGACCCAUACCUUGAGCCCUGUCAAUAACUUCUGAAAUAUAUAUAUUUUUUGUAUUUUUUCAAUAUAGAUUUUUCUGUUUGCUUGCAUCGCAUUAUGUAUCUAGAAUUUCAGUAUAUUUACUAUAUUGCACUGAUAGUAAACCAAACUUGAAUAUUCGAGACCCUGUUUUCAUUAAAAAAAACGUGUUUAUAAUUUUUAUCCUAAUAUGCCUUAUAGAAAUGAUUGUUAGCUUAUAUGUUACUUACGUUAUUACAUCAAAUUACGUUUCGUUUAAGUUUAAAUCAGAAUUUAUUCAGGACUCACAUGUGAGUCACUGGCCCUGCGGAACUGUUUGAGCAUGACCCAUACGCUGAGUCGCUGGCCCUGAAUGGGUUAAGCUAAAAAAAUA